UACGGAGGGUGCAAGCGUUAUCCGGAUUCACUGGGUUUAAAGGGAGCGCAGGCGGAUUGGUAAGUCAGUGGUGAAAGGCUUAAGCUUAACUUGGGAACUGCCAUUGAUACUAUUAGUCUUGAAUGUUGUUGAGGUUUGCGGAAUGGGUCAUGUAGCGGUGAAAUGCAUAGAUAUGACCCGGAACACCUAUUGCGAAGGCAGCAGGCUAAACAAAUAUUGACGCUGAGGCUCGAAAGCGUGGGGAUCAAACAGG
RNAcentral lists this ribosomal RNA (253 nucleotides) under uncultured bacterium. Its description in RNAcentral is "partial 16S ribosomal RNA". It matches the Rfam family "Bacterial small subunit ribosomal RNA", at positions 524 to 776 of the family's 1533-position model. The record is from RNAcentral.